Molecule: long non-coding RNA, 213 nt
Filed under: Mytilus galloprovincialis (Mediterranean mussel)
Lineage: Eukaryota; Metazoa; Mollusca; Bivalvia; Mytilida; Mytilidae
Source: RNAcentral
CAAACAAUAAAAAGUGGAAAAAAGAAAAUAAACAUGCAUUUUAAUAUUGAAUAAUUACUUUAUAUUUUACAUUAAGAGCGGCAUCAAAUAAACGGAACGAUCUAGAGUGAUUCGGAAACGCAAGCAAUUCAUAUUUUGUUAUUCCAUUACUCUUCUAAAUUAUGUAGCUUAAUCAGAAAAAACAUUGGGUGAAAUACGAAAAGAGCAACUAAU